UACGUAGGGGGCAAGCGUUGUCCGGAAUCAUUGGGCGUAAAGCGCGUGUAGGCGGCCCGGUAAGUCCGCUGUGAAAGUCCAGGGCUCAACCCUGGAAUGCCGGUGGAUACUGUCGGGCUCGAGUCCGGAAGAGGCGAGUGGAAUUCCUGGUGUAGCGGUGAAAUGCGCAGAUAUCUGGAGGAACACCGGUGGCGAAGGCGGCAUCCUGGACCGGUAUUGACGCUGAGGCGCGAAAGCUAGGGGAGCAAACGGG
RNAcentral lists this ribosomal RNA (253 nucleotides) under uncultured bacterium. RNAcentral's name for it is "partial 16S ribosomal RNA". It matches the Rfam family "Bacterial small subunit ribosomal RNA", at positions 524 to 776 of the family's 1533-position model. The record is from RNAcentral.